This 433-nucleotide ribosomal RNA is filed under the name uncultured bacterium. Its description in RNAcentral is "partial 16S ribosomal RNA". It matches the Rfam family "Bacterial small subunit ribosomal RNA", at positions 28 to 507 of the family's 1533-position model. The record is from RNAcentral.
GACGAACGCUGGCGGCAUGCCUAACACAUGCAAGUCGAACGAAGGCUUCGGCCUUAGUGGCGCACGGGUGCGUAACGCGUGGGAAUCUGCCCUUGGGUUCGGAAUAACAGUUAGAAAUGACUGCUAAUACCGGAUGAUGUCGUAAGACCAAAGAUUUAUCGCCCAAGGAUGAGCCCGCGUAGGAUUAGCUAGUUGGUGGGGUAAAGGCCUACCAAGGCGACGAUCCUUAGCUGGUCUGAGAGGAUGAUCAGCCACACUGGGACUGAGACACGGCCCAGACUCCUACGGGAGGCAGCAGUGGGGAAUAUUGGACAAUGGGCGAAAGCCUGAUCCAGCAAUGCCGCGUGAGUGAUGAAGGCCUUAGGGUUGUAAAGCUCUUUUACCCGGGAUGAUAAUGACAGUACCGGGAGAAUAAGCUCCGGCUAACUUCGUG